UCCAGGACAAUGCAGUGGCACAUGCCUGGAGUCCCAGCUACUCAGGAGGCUGAGGCACGAGGAUCGCUUGAGCCCAAGAGUCCUGGGCUGUAGCACACUGUGCCAGAGACGUGUCUGCACCAAGUUCAGCCAUCAGUAUGAUGACCUCCCAGAAGUAGGGGACCACCAGGUUGCCUAAGGAGGGGUGAAUUGGCCCAGGUUGGAAACGAACAGGUUAAAACUUCCCCUGCUGAUCAGUAGUGGGAUUACGCCUGUGAAUAGCCACUGCACUCCAGCCUGGGCAACAUAGCGAGACCUUGUCU
RNAcentral lists this long non-coding RNA (302 nucleotides) under Homo sapiens (human). RNAcentral's name for it is "non-protein coding lnc-ISM2-2:1". It matches the Rfam family "Metazoan signal recognition particle RNA". Rfam says of the family: The signal recognition particle (SRP) is a universally conserved ribonucleoprotein. It is involved in the co-translational targeting of proteins to membranes. The record is from RNAcentral. Lineage: Eukaryota; Metazoa; Chordata; Mammalia; Primates; Hominidae.